GGUGGCUCAGUGGUAGAGUGCUUGCCUUGCAUCCAUGAGGCCCUGGGUUCGAUUCCUCAGCACCA
Non-coding RNA from Dipodomys ordii (Ord's kangaroo rat), 65 nucleotides. Lineage: Eukaryota; Metazoa; Chordata; Mammalia; Rodentia; Heteromyidae. The record is from Rfam.